This 253-nucleotide ribosomal RNA is filed under the name uncultured bacterium. RNAcentral describes it as "partial 16S ribosomal RNA". It matches the Rfam family "Bacterial small subunit ribosomal RNA", at positions 524 to 776 of the family's 1533-position model. The record is from RNAcentral.
UACGUAGGCAGCAAGCGUUGUUCGGAAUUACUGGGCGUAAAGAGUGUGUAGGCGGUGUUCUAAGUUCGGUGUGAAAUCUCCCGGCUCAACUGGGAGGGUGCGCCGAAAACUGGGAUGCUCGAGUGUGGGAGAGGAAAGCGGAAUUCCUGGUGUAGCGGUGAAAUGCGUAGAUAUCAGGAGGAACACCAGCGGUGUAGACGGCUUUCUGGACCAUUACUGACGCUGAGACACGAAAGCGUGGGUAGCAAACAGG